RNAcentral lists this ribosomal RNA (271 nucleotides) under Vibrio parahaemolyticus. RNAcentral's name for it is "partial 23S ribosomal RNA". It matches the Rfam family "Bacterial large subunit ribosomal RNA", at positions 1628 to 1883 of the family's 2925-position model. Lineage: Bacteria; Pseudomonadati; Pseudomonadota; Gammaproteobacteria; Vibrionales; Vibrionaceae. The record is from RNAcentral.
CAGAUUGUAAGGAAUCGUACCCCAAACCGACACAGGUGGUCGGGUAGAGAAUACCAAGGCGCUUGAGAGAACUCGGGUGAAGGAACUAGGCAAAAUGGUACCGUAACUUCGGGAGAAGGUACGCUCUCGACGGUGAAGUCCCUCGCGGAUGGAGCUAUUGAGAGUCGCAGAUACCAGGUGGCUGCAACUGUUUAUUAAAAACACAGCACUGUGCAAAAUCGUAAGAUGACGUAUACGGUGUGACGCCUGCCCGGUGCCGGAAGGUUAAUUG